Molecule: ribosomal RNA, 807 nt
Filed under: Theloderma baibungense (Baibung small treefrog)
Lineage: Eukaryota; Metazoa; Chordata; Amphibia; Anura; Rhacophoridae
Description: partial large subunit ribosomal RNA
Rfam family: Bacterial large subunit ribosomal RNA
Source: RNAcentral
GCGUUAAAGCUUAUUAUAAUACACCACAAAUGCCAUUUUAUACCAUGAACCCGCCUCCAGUAUUGAAUAAUUUCAUAAAUUUAUGGAAGAAAUAAUGCUAGGACUAGUAACAAGAAUGAAAAAUUCUCCAAAAUAUAAGUAUAAACCAAGAUUAAUCAAUUACUGGUAUUUAACGAAAAUGAGUUUAAUGCAACAACCUAACAAGAAAACCCUGCAUUUUCCCCCGUUAAUCUUACACUAGAAUAUUUAUGGAAAGAUUAAAAGAGAAAGAAGGAACUCGGCAAUAUAUGACCCCGCCUGUUUACCAAAAACAUCGCCUCCUGCCUAUAAUAAGAGGUCCAGCCUGCCCAGUGAUAUUAUUCAACGGCCGCGGUACCCUAACCGUGCGAAGGUAGCAUAAUCACUUGUCCUCUAAAUAAGGACUUGUAUCAACGGCACCACGAGGGUUGCACUGUCUCCUCCCUCUAAUCAGUGAAACUGAUCUCCCCGUGAAGAAGCGGGGAUAAAACUAUAAGACGAGAAGACCCCAUGGAGCUUCAAACUGAACAGCAACUUAAUUACUUAUUUCCCCAUAUAAUAAAGGUAUGCCUGUAAGUUUUGGGUUGGGGCGACCGCGGAGAACAAAAUAACCUCCAUAGCGAAAAGAACUAAACCUUUAUCUAAGAGCCACCCCUCAAAGAAUUAGCACCCUAACGUAUAAUGACCCGAUUAUCGAUCAACGAACCAAGUUACCCUGGGGAUAACAGCGCAAUCUACUCCAAGAGCCCCUAUCGACGAGUAGGCUUACGACCUCGAUGUUGGAUCAGG